Molecule: non-coding RNA, 492 nt
Organism: Dermatophagoides farinae (American house dust mite)
Lineage: Eukaryota; Metazoa; Arthropoda; Arachnida; Sarcoptiformes; Pyroglyphidae
Source: RefSeq, a predicted model, not a curated record
UUGAAAAUAACAGAAAUACUAAAUAAUAAUAAUCUAGCCCAAAAGAAAAGAAGAAAGAAAAUUCUAUUAAUUAUAAUAGUCAUCAUAGUUAUAAUAAUAAUAAUAAUUUGUUAUUAAAGUUUGUAUAAUCGGCUACAUGUUUGUAUUUUCAUCUACGGCUUCCCUUCGGUCUUGAAAAUUCACAAACAAUCAAUAUUGGAUCAAUACAUUCUUUAUAUUAUAAAAAUUUAAUCGUAGAAUUGUAUCUACAAAACUACAGCAACAGCAAGCGAGUUGUCUGAAUAAUUCUGAAAUAGCCAUUAACGAAAACGACGACAAAAUAUAUUUGUAAAGAUCAACUGAAAUAACAAACGAAGACAUUGGCAUUCAAUUGCUCAAGUGGGGGGGAUAAUCAACGUUCAUCUUUAAUGAUUUCUCAAUAUUUUCAUUUUCAACAUAAAUAAAAAAUAAAAUGAUCAAAUCAUCAUAAUUUCCAAAGUUUUAUUCGAUCAU